RNAcentral lists this ribosomal RNA (447 nucleotides) under uncultured archaeon. Its description in RNAcentral is "bacterial SSU rRNA". It matches the Rfam family "Archaeal small subunit ribosomal RNA", at positions 437 to 884 of the family's 1478-position model. The record is from RNAcentral.
AAGGGGUGGGCAAGUUCUGGUGUCAGCCGCCGCGGUAAAACCAGCACCUCGAGUGGUCAGGAGGUUUAUGGGCCUAAAGCAUCCNNANNNGGUUGCAUAAGUUUNCGGUUAAAUCUAUGCGCUUAACGUAUAGGCCGCCGAAAAUACUGUGCAGCUAGGGAGUGGGAGAGGUACACGGUACUCGAUAGGAAGGGGUAAAAUCCUUUGAUCUAUUGAUGACCACCUGUGGCGAAGGCGGUGUACCAGAACACGUUCGACGGUGAGGGAUGAAAGCUGGGGGAGCAAACCGGAUUAGAUACCCGGGUAGUCCCAGCUGUAAACGAUGCAGACUCGGUGAUGCAUUGGCUUGUGGCCAAUGCAGUGCCGCAGGGAAGCCGUUAAGUCUGCCGCCUGGGAAGUACGUACGCAAGUAUGAAACUUAAAGGAAUUGGCGGGGGAGCACCACAA